RNAcentral lists this ribosomal RNA (429 nucleotides) under Pseudomonadota bacterium. RNAcentral's name for it is "Proteobacteria bacterium partial 16S ribosomal RNA". It matches the Rfam family "Bacterial small subunit ribosomal RNA", at positions 355 to 776 of the family's 1533-position model. Lineage: Bacteria; Pseudomonadati; Pseudomonadota. The record is from RNAcentral.
UGGGGAAUAUUGGACAAUGGGCGAAAGCCUGAUCCAGCCAUGCCGCGUGUGUGAAGAAGGUCUUCGGAUUGUAAAGCACUUUAAGUAGGGAGGAAGGGCAGUAAGCGAAUACCUUGCUGUUUUGACGUUACCGACAGAAUAAGCACCGGCUAACUCUGUGCCAGCAGCCGCGGUAAUACAGAGGGUGCAAGCGUUAAUCGGAAUUACUGGGCGUAAAGCGCGCGUAGGUGGUUCGUUAAGUUGAAUGUGAAAGCCCCGGGCUCAACCUGGGAACUGCAUCCAAAACUGGCGAGCUAGAGUAGGGCAGAGGGUGGUGGAAGUUCCUGUGUAGCGGUGAAAUGCGUAGAUAUAGGAAGGAACACCAGUGGCGAAGGCGACCACCUGGGCUCAUACUGACACUGAGGUGCGAAAGCGUGGGGAGCAAACAGG